Molecule: ribosomal RNA, 756 nt
Rfam family: Bacterial small subunit ribosomal RNA
GAACGGGUGAGUAACACGUGGGCAAUCUGCCCUGCACUCUGGGACAAGCCCUGGAAACGGGGUCUAAUACCGGAUACUGACCCGCUUGGGCAUCCUGGCGGAUCGAAAGCUCCGGCGGUGCAGGAUGAGCCCGCGGCCUAUCAGCUAGUUGGUGAGGUAAUGGCUCACCAAGGCGACGACGGGUAGCCGGCCUGAGAGGGCGACCGGCCACACUGGGACUGAGACACGGCCCAGACUCCUACGGGAGGCAGCAGUGGGGAAUAUUGCACAAUGGGCGAAAGCCUGAUGCAGCGACGCCGCGUGAGGGAUGACGGCCUUCGGGUUGUAAACCUCUUUCAGCAGGGAAGAAGCGAAAGUGACGGUACCUGCAGAAGAAGCGCCGGCUAACUACGUGCCAGCAGCCGCGGUAAUACGUAGGGCGCGAGCGUUGUCCGGAAUUAUUGGGCGUAAAGAGCUCGUAGGCGGCUUGUCACGUCGGUUGUGAAAGCCCGGGGCUUAACCCCGGGUCUGCAGUCGAUACGGGCAGGCUAGAGUUCGGUAGGGGAGAUCGGAAUUCCUGGUGUAGCGGUGAAAUGCGCAGAUAUCAGGAGGAACACCGGUGGCGAAGGCGGAUCUCUGGGCCGAUACUGACGCUGAGGAGCGAAAGCGUGGGGGAGCGAACAGGAUUAGAUACCCUGGUAGUCCACGCCGUAAACGGUGGGCACUAGGUGUGGGCGACAUUCCACGUCGUCCGUGCCGCAGCUAACGCAUUAAGUG